UACGAAGGGGGCUAGCGUUGCUCGGAAUCACUGGGCGUAAAGGGCGCGUAGGCGGAUCUUUAAGUCGGGGGUGAAAGCCCAGGGCUCAACCCUGGAAUUGCCUUCGAUACUGAAGAUCUCGAGACCGGAAGAGGUAAGUGGAACUGCGAGUGUAGAGGUGAAAUUCGUAGAUAUUCGCAAGAACACCAGUGGCGAAGGCGGCUCACUGGCCCAUAACUGACGCUGAGGCACGAAAGCGUGGGGAGCAAACAGG
RNAcentral lists this ribosomal RNA (253 nucleotides) under uncultured bacterium. RNAcentral's name for it is "partial 16S ribosomal RNA". It matches the Rfam family "Bacterial small subunit ribosomal RNA", at positions 524 to 776 of the family's 1533-position model. The record is from RNAcentral.